UACGUAGGGUGCAGGCGUUAAUCGGAAUUACUGGGCGUAAAGCGUGCGCAGGCGGUUUGCUAAGACAGGUGUGAAAUCCCCGGGCUUAACCUGGGAACUGCGCUUGUUACUGGCAAGCUGGAGUGUGGCAGAGGGGGGUGGAAUUCCACGUGUAGCAGUGAAAUGCGUAGAGAUGUGGAGGAACACCGAUGGCGAAGGCGGCUCUCUGGACCGUAACUGACGCUGAAGCGCGAAAGCGUGGGGAGCAAACAGG
Molecule: ribosomal RNA, 253 nt
Filed under: uncultured bacterium
Lineage: Bacteria
Description: partial 16S ribosomal RNA
Rfam family: Bacterial small subunit ribosomal RNA
Source: RNAcentral